GUAGCUGGGGCUGAGAGGUUAAGGUGAUGGACUUGAAAUGCACUGGGGUCUCCUGGCACAGGUUUAAGUUCUGUCAGCUACC
This 82-nucleotide transfer RNA is filed under the name Alligator mississippiensis (American alligator). It matches the Rfam family "tRNA". Rfam says of the family: Transfer RNA (tRNA) molecules are approximately 80 nucleotides in length. Their secondary structure includes four short double-helical elements and three loops (D, anti-codon, and T loops). The record is from Rfam by way of RNAcentral. Lineage: Eukaryota; Metazoa; Chordata; Crocodylia; Alligatoridae.